CCUACGGGGGGCAGCAGUGGGGAAUAUUGGACAAUGGGCGAAAGCCUGAUCCAGCCAUGCCGCGUGUGUGAAGAAGGCCUUCGGGUUGUAAAGCACUUUCAGUGGGGAAGAAAGCCUUGGGGCUAAUACCCUCGAGGAAGGACAUCACCCACAGAAGAAGCACCGGCUAACUCCGUGCCAGCAGCCGCGGUAAUACGGAGGGUGCGAGCGUUAAUCGGAAUUACUGGGCGUAAAGCGUGCGUAGGCGGUCUGAUAAGCCGGUUGUGAAAGCCCCGGGCUCAACCUGGGAACGGCAUCCGGAACUGUCAGGCUAGAGUGCAGGAGAGGAAGGUAGAAUUCCCGGUGUAGCGGUGAAAUGCGUAGAGAUCGGGAGGAAUACCAGUGGCGAAGGCGGCCUUCUGGACUGACACUGACGCUGAGGUGCGAAAGCGUGGGUAGCAAACAGGAUUAGAUACCCGGGUAGUC
This 465-nucleotide ribosomal RNA is filed under the name Vreelandella stevensii. RNAcentral describes it as "partial 16S ribosomal RNA". It matches the Rfam family "Bacterial small subunit ribosomal RNA", at positions 338 to 795 of the family's 1533-position model. The record is from RNAcentral. Lineage: Bacteria; Pseudomonadati; Pseudomonadota; Gammaproteobacteria; Oceanospirillales; Halomonadaceae.